Molecule: long non-coding RNA, 885 nt
Organism: Mercenaria mercenaria
Lineage: Eukaryota; Metazoa; Mollusca; Bivalvia; Venerida; Veneridae
Exons: 2
Source: RefSeq, a predicted model, not a curated record
CAUACUUCCGCUAAGUUUCACCGGUUGUGUUGAACUUUCAGCUAAUUUCAACAGCUGUUUGAGCGAAAAUGGUUGAAAUAGGAUCAGGGCCGAUUAAGGAGAGCAUAGAUAACACGGUGUUUAUUAUACCUGGAUUAAUUAUAGGAUUUCUUGUCAUUUUCUUCACAUAUAAACUUGUUAAAAGUUUACGAGAGAAAGAACGACUGAAAGAAGAAAAGAAGAAGCUGAAACAGCAAAGGAAAGAAAAAGAAAAUGCAAAAAAGAUAAAGAAGAAAUAGACAUAAAUAAUGCGUUUGUGAAUGUACAUGUAUUGUAACAAAGUUUAUUUAGUAUUUAAGACUUGCGUCCCUGAAAAUUGUCAGGAGUUUUGUUGAAAUGGUUAUCUGUUAGUUUUGAACUUGGUGUAGAGACAAGAUGAACGUGAGGGUAAUGAUGGCAAUAUCUUAAGGUGAAGGAAUAUAUUUUACAGUGAUACACAAAUUUAUAUGAAAAAUAUGGAAAGAUCAGAUACUAGUACAUGUCACAGGGUCUUGCAGUAACAGUAGUCACAAGGUGCAUUAAUUAGAAAUAAGACACCAAAAAAAAUCAAAAUUGGAAAAAAACUAAUACUUGCCACCAGCUCUUCAAGAGAUAUCCAGACUAACAGAUGAAUUUGGACCAAUGACAGAAAAGAAAUUUUGGAAUGCAGCUUUGAAUAUAUAGUUUUGAAGCCAUAAGUAUUGAAGACAGAAAUACAAUUAUAAAUAAUAUAUAUUGUUAGUUUUCAGGUUUUUUAAUACAUGGUUAUGAUCAUUCCAGAUUUUUUAAUGUCAUAAUAUACAUGUAUAUUUGGUUUGAACGUUUGAUGUGCAUCUAUAUUACUUAGAAUAUAAAAAAUUAAAUGCA